CCAUAUGAUUCUGAUUUGGAGCCAGGCAAUAUGUUCUUGGAUAUUAGUUCAUUGCAAACUGCUUUGCCUAAUGCUCACUUGCCAUCAACCUUCCUUGGUGGUGUGACUGAACCAUGGUUUCCUCAAGAUCCAGUGGCAACUUAUAUUCCAGCUGCAGCACAAGGUAGCUUGGCAUACAUGGCAGGACAAGCACCAAGCCCUCAAUUAGGGAAUGUCCAAACUCAAGGACCUGUUGCUUCUGUUGGUGGAAAACCGUUUGCUUAAAGGAUUCAACAAUGAAGAAUAUUAAUAGUUCUAUUAUUUUGUGUUGAGUAGCACCUGAGUUAUCGCAAUUAUUUUCAUUAUUCUUAU
RNAcentral lists this unclassified non-coding RNA (351 nucleotides) under Hevea brasiliensis (rubber tree). Lineage: Eukaryota; Viridiplantae; Streptophyta; Magnoliopsida; Malpighiales; Euphorbiaceae. The record is from RNAcentral.